RNAcentral lists this long non-coding RNA (567 nucleotides) under Olea europaea subsp. europaea. Lineage: Eukaryota; Viridiplantae; Streptophyta; Magnoliopsida; Lamiales; Oleaceae. The record is from RNAcentral.
AAGGGCAUAAUUUAAGUUUUACCAUAUCCAAAAGAGCAAUGGUGACAAGUAGACAAAAACUGAAGUGUGUGAAUUCAUUCCGGAACUUCCAAACUUUGACGCGGAAGAUCCGGAGGCCAAAAAAAAAAAAAAAACCACGGCAAUCGUCGCAAAGAUGCAAUCUUUUUCAUCAUUUUCACUCCACUCUCUCCUCAUUCUAUUAACCAUUUUGAGGAAAUUAACGAUUUUCCUCUCAACUUUUUCAUUUUCACUUUGCCUAUGAAAAUGAAAAUUUGAAGUUUUUGGCUUGCUCAUGUUGCUGUCGAACUCAUUCCUGGUCUUUUGAAAAUCUCUUCUUCCGAAGACGGGUUUUUUUCUGCACCGUCAAUCUUGAGUGCUGAACGGCCGCUCUAUUGGAAGUAACAAACCCAACGCUCUCGCCCACUCAUCUUCAGGAUUAGUCCUUGCUUUUUUCCUUAUAACAGAGAAAUUUUGAUACAAAUUUUGAACUUUGUAGUAGGACGAGUGUUUAAUUGGAUUGUAUCCGUGGUGGCACUGCCUAUAGAUGGAGUAGGCAAUAGCUUAAAC